RNAcentral lists this transfer RNA (97 nucleotides) under Clostridiales bacterium. RNAcentral's name for it is "tRNA-Sec". It matches the Rfam family "Selenocysteine transfer RNA". The record is from RNAcentral. Lineage: Bacteria; Bacillati; Bacillota; Clostridia; Eubacteriales.
GGGAAUAGAUGGGCGCUGGUGUGCCUUCUGGUCUUCAAAACCAGUUCAAGGGGUUAAGAGCCUCUUGGGUGGGUUCGAUUCCCACAUAUUCCCGCCA